Molecule: long non-coding RNA, 1001 nt
Filed under: Podarcis muralis (Common wall lizard)
Lineage: Eukaryota; Metazoa; Chordata; Lepidosauria; Squamata; Lacertidae
Description: lncRNA (ENSPMRG00000021749.1)
Source: RNAcentral
CAGUCACUGACUUAGGAGCUGAAACUUGGCAGGCAUCCUGUCCACCUUAAUCCUUUCUGCAGUUUGUAAGCAAUGAGCCGAGAGCAGAGGAGAGCAGGCAGCUGAGCAGGCUCUGCUCUUUGAACUUCAGUUUCUUUAUUGUUUUCCCUUCCUGCUUCCAGAGCUGGUCUUUAAGUGUGAAAGAAACACCAUGCAGCGUUUGGCUCUGCUAAUUAGGCAGCUUCUUUCACUGACUCUGGAAAAAAUAUUUGGCCAACACUUGCAGUCUCAUGGUCCUUUGGCCCAGCAAAUAUUGAUUCAAUUCCUCUGCGAUUUUUCCAGAAUGAAAAGGCUUUGUUUUCAAAGCGUUGAAGAGAACCUUUUCCAGCUUUGUUCGGUUGCGUGGAGGCCAACAAAACUCGAGGUAUUUCUGUAACAAAGAAGACCCACACAUGUAAGUAAAGGCUUUCUGAUUUGGUCACUUUCUCUUAUGCACAGGACAAUUGGAUUGGUGGGAUGAUGAGUGUUGCCUUUUUGUUGGGUCCUCCAUUAACCAAUAAGCUUGGAGGGCAGGGGAGUUAGAAAGGUGACAGAGCUCUUGCUUGCUCCAUAGGGGACCAAAGAGCUUAUAAAAGGCAGAGGAUACGCGGGAAUUCUGGUAGACCCAGGACUUGGGGAGAAAUCCCUACAAGAGCUUCUUAUCUCCAAGGCAGUUCCAUCUUUGAGAAACAGAGAGUGAUAUGGACAUAACUGUGGGAUUCAGGCAAGGCAUUUGAGGAGUCUCAGCAACUGUUUAGGAUUAGGAAUUGGAAGUGUCAUAAUUUCAUAUCUAUGCUUGACAAAUGCAACCUGAAGUAAGAGGAAAUAAUUGCUAUUUUUCUGGUGUGAGACAGAACAAUGCCCAUGUUAAUCUUUGCUGUGCUAGGUCUCUGCUCUCUCUGCUAGCCCGGUGACUUUUUUUACCGCAGGUUCUUGUGGGCUUCUGUCAGUUGGGAGGCUUCGGUUGGAAAUAAUGAAGUGAC